UCAACGAAGCUGUUCACUGUGACAAUAACCAGCCAGUAAAUAUAGAUGGUUGUGUGUCUCACAUAUAAAAGCUCCAAGUAAACUCGUGGAAUCUUCUUUCGUUCGUAAGCUUUCAAUACAUGUUACCAAACACUAGGGUUUAAUUUUCUAUUCCUUUGCUAAAUCAUCUUAUCUCAAUACCAAUCUUGUGAUGAGGUAAUCCGAAACCGAUUUCUCGAAACUUGAUUUGGUGUUGGUCGGAUUUUACGGCCCUGCGUACGAGAUCUUUAUCAACGAGGUCACUGUGAUGUCGCCGUUCUCCCCACAAUAAACAUUCUCGAGACGCAUAGUAAUCUGAUCUCUUCUUCUGCAGCUACAUUCCCCAAUGACCAGAUUCGGCAGCCUUGCACCAAAGACCAAGAACCUGAUUGUUGCAGGUGGGUUGUCAGGCUUUGUUCUUGGGGUUUACUACUACACUAUGAGAGCGGUUGGGGGCACAGAUGAGCUGCAGGUUGCUAUCAACAAGUUCGAACAAGCCAAGAACAAAAAGGAGGCUGAAACAACAUCCUCUGCUGGCUCCUAGUCCUGUGCAGUUGUCAUUAAUGUUGGAAAGGUAUAAUUCAUUAGAAUGUUGUAAAGACUUGGUAGCUGUGAGAUUAUGGCCUGGUGACAUGCUUUUGGAAGAUUUUUAGUACUUAAUAAUGCGGAGUUAUGUUCUAUGACUCCUAUAACAAUAUGAAAAAUUCCAUGUGAAUGCCCUGUUCUUUGUUA
Musa acuminata AAA Group (dessert banana) is the source of this 750-nucleotide long non-coding RNA. RefSeq lists it as uncharacterized. Lineage: Eukaryota; Viridiplantae; Streptophyta; Magnoliopsida; Zingiberales; Musaceae. The record is from RefSeq and is a predicted model, not a curated record. The transcript has 2 exons.